UACGGAGGGGGCUAGCGUUGUUCGGAAUUACUGGGCGUAAAGCGCACGUAGGCGGCUUUGUAAGUUAGAGGUGAAAGCCCAGGGCUCAACCCUGGAAUUGCCUUUAAGACUGCAUCGCUUGAAUCAUGGAGAGGUGAGUGGAAUUCCGAGUGUAGAGGUGAAAUUCGUAGAUAUUUGGAAGAACACCAGUGGCGAAGGCGACUCACUGGACAUGUAUUGACGCUGAGGUGCGAAAGCGUGGGGAGCAAACAGG
Molecule: ribosomal RNA, 253 nt
Filed under: uncultured bacterium
Lineage: Bacteria
Description: partial 16S ribosomal RNA
Rfam family: Bacterial small subunit ribosomal RNA
Source: RNAcentral